UUUUUUUUGCAAUUUUAUUGCAUUAGCGUAGAAUGCUACUGGGUAUGCAACCUCUAGCCACAAUAACUUACCGUUGGUUCUUAAAGUGUCUAGAUUGUCUGGUUAAAUUCUAGAAACAUCGGAAAAAAACUCACUUGUUCAUAUAUUUUGAAAAACUGAUACAAGCGUAUUUCACUUCAUGGCAUUCUGAUUGUGUUUGGCAAUUAUAGUGAUUUCAGGUAUAUUUUUUGUAUAGAAUCGUUAUACUAUUUGAAGUCAUUAUCGUAUCAUGACUAGGGUAGAUUUUACCAUCGGCUGAAUGCAUAGUAUAGGAAUGGGUAGUGUAGACGUUUCAACAAUCUUCUCUUGAACUAGAGCUGUAGUAGUUUUUAAACUAGCCAAACAAUUUUCUCAAACUCUUCUUUUAAACUAUAGAGCUGGGGUAGGUAAUUUUGUGGGUAGAGUAUAUAUAUGCACUUUAUAACUUAUCCUGAAGAUUAAUUUGGGCUCGUAGGAUUAGACUAGCUUCUAAACCCGUUAAACUCUACUUAUCAUAAUGUGAAAACAAAAUUACUUUUGCUCUUAUAGAUAUCAUAUCACCUCCGUAAUGAUUCAGUUUCUGCGCUAGGAGAUUCUUUGGUUGGAAAUUGUGUUUAGUUUUUUAUUCUCGUCCUAAUUCUCUAUCCAUUUCACCAAAUGUCUAAUGAUAUUCAAAAUACUACGGGGAAGUGCCUUGCGCCUAGAUACCAAAUGAAAUAGGACUGCACUGCGUGUUGCGAUUCAUAGUCCUUGUGGUGGGAUACAUGCUUUUUGUAUCUGAAUGUGUGCUACUAUUGUAAACAUAGAUGUGGUAAACUUUGUCUAUUCCUAAGCCUGAGAUAUCUCAAACAACAUUAUGUAGUCCGUUUUGGCUUGUGGCAAGGCAGGCACUUUGUAGUUUCUUCAAGUUUUCUAUACGUUUUAAAGUUUGGAUCACCAAAGUUUGAACUUUCAGUAUAAACUUAUCAAUUCACCGGAUUCUGAAUUCUGUUGUACAUGUCUUCCCGUACAUCACCGAUACUAUUUGGCAGUUCCAUACACCAUUGUUUCAUUCAUCCGGGAUUAGAAGAUUCACUUCUAAAUUUGUAGAGUGGCUAGCUCCUGUGUGCUGGUGUAUUUAGGCAUUUUAUGAAUUAUUUUAUUUUUCUGCUAGGAGAUUGGUCGGCGGCAGCUGUAGAUGUCUUCACGCGCACCAUCGUAAUUAUUUGGCAGUUCCAUACAUCAUUAUUUCAUUCAUUCUGUAUUAGAAUAUUCAGUUGUUGUGUUGGUGUAUUUAAAUUUUUUCUGAAUUAUUUUAUUUUCUGCUAGGAGAUUGGUCAGGGGGUGGAACCAGCGAGCACCGUGCCGGGUGGUUACUAUGGGCAGUGCUUGGGUGGCAUCAGCAUCUUGCUGAGUGGCUUGGCGGCCUCGGCACUGGUGCGGGCGGGGCAUGCCAGUGGGGUUCAACGUGAAGGUCCAAUGAUGGAUUCUUCCAGCUACAGGUACACAUCCAUAAAGAGCUUGAACGAGGCCAAAUGUAAAUUUGGGAGACGCUUGCUGGGAAAGUGUAGUCCAUACACGACGAUGGUCCGUCAUUAGGUAUCCAGAUACUGAGACUGGUGCAGAUGAUUAGUCCUACUGGGUUAUAUCUGCAUUAGCCCAUUCAUGGACAUUGAAGAAUCCAGAUGAAGACAUUAUGUCAUUGAAAGGUGCUGGUGUUGAUGCUAUGGAGGUUUACAGAUGUGACAGGAAUGUUGAUGGCACCGAAUCCAGUGUGCCUUCACGCUGCCAAACACAGCGUGAUCAGGCAAGAGAGGAACACAACCGGUGAAGGAUGAGCAGCGGAACCGGAGGUUGUUCCUGCCACCAUGCAAGGAGGGGCACACGCUGUUCUGGUGCGGCAACUGCAAGGAGGGGGGCAUCGUGGUACCGGUGACCUGUCCCGGGCCGUGAUGCUGCUGUAAGUGCUCCACGCGUCACCGGCUCCUGCUGCCCGCUCCAUGACAAGUCGGAGAGGGACACGAGGCCAGCUCUGACUCCUUCCCAACCCGGAGAAAUAGCUUCACGAAGUCUUCCAGAAUCCAGGUCGUGGCUGACCUCACCAGCUGCUUGGAAAUUUUUGUUCCGACACAGCCGAAGCUGGCAUACACCAGCAUUCAAUCAAAGAAUUUUUUUUUUAAACAAUGACUUAUUUUAAACCAUGGAAUAAAGUUUUGGAUAUAAUCCUAAUUGAUCAAAAGCAUAUAUAUGCACCCGACACACUAA
Molecule: RNA transcript, 2262 nt
Organism: Lolium rigidum
Lineage: Eukaryota; Viridiplantae; Streptophyta; Magnoliopsida; Poales; Poaceae
Exons: 3
Source: RefSeq, a predicted model, not a curated record